UGAGUUUGAAAAAAGAAUAUUUGUAUAAUAUGUAUAGACCAGUUAAGGAAGCAUUUUUUUAGUUGAAAAUAUGGUUACCACACUGAGAAAUUGAAAAAAUAAUCAUAUUUGUAUGUUGGUACCAAGCUUUUAUACAGAAAUUAAAAUAAACUACAUGCCUAAUAUGACCAUUCCAUAGACUGAGAAUAUACCAGGAAAGACACCAAAGCACACAUGCAAAGAGGGAAACUGCAUACAUUCAGAUUAUCACAGUGAGCAACUAAGAUUGCUUAUGGCCACCAGAAGUUCUCUAAGUGGCCGAAAAGCCCUAUGGAAGUGGCAUGUGGGCACGUCAGCAGAUCCGAGCAGCCUUCCUCACUGGCCGGUUGGUGCUACUACUGAUUUCGUCCUCCUGUUGACGAAGACAAUGAUGCAGUAGUCCAAUACAUAUGAAAGCAAGUGGUUUCAUCAUGAAGCAUAUUGACAUGGUGUGCAGAUUUGGUUUUCUGAAAUAAGGCAUGAGCAAUUAACAAAAAAAUCAUCGCAGAUGGCCAGAGAUAUGAAUGCAAACAUGUUAUAAUCACCUUCUUAAAGCAUGCAAACCAGUAAUAUAGGUAACAAACCGUGAGUUCAGUAAGAUUUUGGACACGAAAUGUUAUUUACAUAGCAGGAAAAAGCUUUUGUUGUACAAAACACAGUGUCACAAAAAUAUAUCCCAAUAAGAAGCUUGCUUAUUUUCACAUGGCCUGUUUAUAUUUCUGGUAACUAAAACAACAUGGCAUGAGCAAGAAAAUAAGAGAAUAAAGCUAUAACUAGAUUGUUCAAGAAACCUCUAUAGCUUGCAUAUACACCAAUGAAAGGUAGUAAAAAAGAAGGCACUCAGCAACCACAAUUCAGAUUAGAAGUGCACCUAACCAACGGGAUCAUGGUAUUCAACAUUGAUAUUUCUUUACAAACCAGGUUAGAACCACAUUUAACUGAAGAAAGUCAUGUUAAUGGAGCAAUAAAGCCUUUACAAACAUGGAUAUGAACCAAUGGCACAUGAGCACUCAAUCAAGCAUGAAACAAACCAGCAGGAUAUUGCGGUAUAAACUGUAUUAAAACCACAUUUUUUACAAUGAGAUCCAAAGGAAAACCCCACAAACUGGCUAGCAAUCAGAACAAAUCUAACCUUGCCUCGGCCGUGGACCAAAACAACCAAAACAUGGGGCAGCGGAGCAGUGACGACACCAUCCAUCCAUGUAUCACUGAUGACACUUGAAAACUGAAACGACCCUGAUAAACAGAGUGUCCGGGUGGUAAGGAUGAGAUAGGUUCAUUAUCAUAUUUUUCAGGUUUUAGAGCAUAUUCUAAGAUAAGAGCAUCCAUCUUGUCAUUGUUAAUUAAUGGUUAGUGUAUUUGCAAGUAAAAUUGUUGAAGCCUGAGGUGUAUAACUAUAUAGGAGAAUUUUGGUAGAUCCAGAUUGGCCGGUAUUGCAUUUGAAAUACGCUAGGUGUAGUAGUUUAAGGCACCAUCAUCAAGAUAACAUCAUUCAUGUGUUCUCUGGUCUCUUUGCCAUCAAAUUAUAUGCAUGGGUUUUCUAGUGCGUCUAUAUUUGUAUCUCAAAUGUUGAUGCUCUACCUGAUCACAACAAUUGCUUUAAUCUAAACUAAUGAUAACCUUGCAUGUCAUCUAAGGAAGAAGAGUGAAGCGGAUACGCAUAAGAAUGCCUACCAUUUACAGAUAUGUAUCAAAAACAAAAGCAUGAGUGAUAGUGAUAGGGACGCAUACAAAAGCUAUGACUCAAUCCUUGGCACAAGUUCCCGAUUUAAAUCAAGUGUUAUUUGCAUAGCAAAGGACUUUAUUUUCAUAUACAAUUAUUAUAUAUCAAUCUUUAAUGUGGCAGAACCAUAAAUCAGAACAUAACGCCAAUUAGUGUGCAUUUCAGCCACCUUCAGCAUUGUAAAUCAAGAUAAACAGUGGAGACCAAGAUAAACAAUAAGAAACGCCAAAAUACUAAUCAUCAACUUAGUGUUUUGUUAAUUGUUCUAUACCAAGCAUCAAUGGUAUUUACACUCUUAUCAUAACUGAUAAAAAAAGAUGCAUCCUUGGACAUGCUUAUUAGUUUUACGCUCAAAUAGAACUUAUUAGGCCAAUAAACCAUACAGUGUGAUCUCUUAGGUACUUAACAACCUCUCAUAGGUUAAUCAGAAACUCUUUUAUUGAUUUAGAUGUAGUAACCAAGUCAAUGUGUACCUUUUGGCAAGUUCGUGCACUAUUGCAUCAGCUUUGAGGUCCAACAAUCAAAAAAAUCCCAAGCACAUGAAUUGAGCGAACGCCUGACAGAACAAAGGAAUAGUGAGUGUUAUCUAUACAAAAACUAAGACAAUGAAGUAGGAUGGAUAAUUAUUUACAACAGAAGAAAGGGUGGAGUAUGAUAUCUCUACUCGACUCUGAAUUAGCAAAAUAAGAAGACAUGGAAAGGCACUUGAAAAACAUCAUAGCGAAGUUCUUGGGCCACAUGAAAAAACAUUCCGAUGAAAAAAAUAGAGUCCUCAAAGUGAGAAUUAAUCUAUCCAAUCUACAUGUAAGAUUACAGUUUUGAUCUACACAACUAAACCCAAAUCAAUAAUAUAAACCUAAAUGCAAAGACUUUGGAUGACAAAAAGGCGUGCAUAUCUGAACGAAAAUGGGGUUCUUCAUAACUUCAAACCACCCUUGCAUGCUUUGGUUCGAUACUCAGCCACUGGCAGGCCCAAAGAUUCUAAAAGGACAUCCAGCACCAUUUUGUAGGGGAUAUUCACCAUUGGGGGAGUAGCCUGUGGUUUAAAAUGGAUGCUAUUAAUUGGCAGAGUAUGAAAAGAAUGUAAGGCAUAGCCUAAAACGGCCUAUUUAUUUGACACCCAAAACAUAGAGUAACUGGAAUCCUAUGGUUAAACCAUGCCUGCUAGGCUGCUACAGCAUAGAAAGAAAAGAAAACACACAUAGAUCACCAAUUAGAAGGGCUCCCUGCACACCAAACAAUGGUCUGUACAAGUAAUUGCACUAAUACAAUAGAUAUCAAACUAAUGGUGUGCAUUAGGUACAGAGGUAUCCUCUUGUGAUGUUGAGAAGGGAAUGGCAAUGGUUGAAUAUCUACUGAUGAAUGGCACCACCUCCAAUCCAUGUCUUUCCAUGACAAUGAAAAGGGAACGGGAAUGCUUACAUGGUACGGGGGCAUUUGCGCUACAGAAAUCUUGCAUAGAUGUGUUUAGAGAGAGAGAGAUGAAGAGCGAUGGGGAAGCUCAUCUUGGCGCCUCCCCAAAAUCCACCUGUGGUCGCCUGUCCCCAUUACCCACGCCAGGCACCAAAUCAAGCAAAGGAACAAAAGAAUCCUCUAUAAAGAGAAAAGGAGCUCCAAGACAAAUCUAUCCCCUUCUCGACGAGGAAAGAUCUAGGUACCAAACAAACUAAGAAAGCCGACAAAAAACUUCUAGGAAUAUAGCUAGAUCCGAGAGCAUCUCCUGGGCAGUAACAAACAAAAAUCCACUUUGCAGAAACUAAGCUGAGGUACCCAACAAAUUUAAAAAGAGGACAAAAUUUCUAUAUGAAAGCCCAGCUAGAUCCGAGCAUCUGGUCAACUGAAGAAACAAAAAGAUUCCCCUUUGUAGGAACCUAGCUAGACAUGAACAUUUCCUUGACAAGAAGAGUGAAGAAUCUCACCCAAUAGAAGAACUGGAGCAUGGACCUGGCGUAAUCACCGCGCAUCCUUGGGUUCGCUGCUAGGAUGCUCGUUUUCGUCGGGGUCUCCUAUCCUCCCUCGAAAUCGAACGGUGGUUGAGCACCAUGGAAGGGUCCUUUUCAAAUUGCCACAGAAAAAGCGGUACAAAAUGGAGUCAGCUCAUAAAUACAUUUGUGGGCAGAAACAUAUAUACAUAGAUGGAACACAUAAAGAUAAGGAAUGCAUCUAUCAAGUACAUGGAACCCCAUAUCACUGCCAAACAUGAAGAAACAUUAAUAAACAAGGAGAGAAGUGAUGUACAAAGCUUCAACUUUGCCCCAUGGAGUAUCCGGCUACACAGGAACGGUAUUGGAAUUCAGAAAUUGUAUGAGAUGUACCAUACCACUAGUGAAAUGCUAGGUCACUUACAUUGCUUGGAUUUGGAUGUGCACAACAUCAUUAUGUAGAGACUUUUCCGCACAAUAUACUUAUCAGCUAAGAAUCUUAGAAAAGGGAGAUCCAAUCCCAUAACCUGGCAAAUCAUCAAACAAAAUCAGGAAGGAAAAUAUAGGAGAAAUCAAAGGAUAAUACAUUAGCUCCAGAGACAUUGACCAAACCUAGGAAAUGUGUGACUGGCAAGGAUGAAAAUACCUACAGACAUCACCAAUGCCAACCCUGGCUAUUGCAGUCGGCGCUGCAACGUAUCUUGCCAACCAAACCAACAUGUGAAACAAGAAUGAAAUUAGAUCGAAAGGGGAGGGAUGCGCGCCGCGGCAGGGGUGCAAGCAAUGAGGAAGGAGAGGUGCGGCGGCUCUGGCGACAAGGAGGAAGGAGGGAGGUGUGCUGUGGUUGUGGUGAUUCACCAUGGAAACCCACGGCGGACGAGCCCCAGCGGCGCGGCGACGGCUGGUUCGGGAGGCGAGGGAUCGAGCUCCGACCCAGCACCACCAGAUCUGACCCCAUCACCUCCUAGUUCCUUGCCUCCCCAUGAAGUGUGCGCUGCCUGGGGCCUACCCCCGUCGCUGCUCCUUCCCCAUGGAAACCCGCGGUGGACAAGCCCCAUCGGUGCGGCGGCGGCUGGUCCAGGAGCCGAGCACGCGAGCGCUAGGUGAUGUGCGCGCGCGGACGAGGAAGGAGGAGAGGAGAGAGAGGAUGGGUGGAGGGGAAACAUGGGUGGGGCAGUGGCGGCUAGAGGGAUUGGGGUGGGGUGGGUGUAGGGUUUGGGGUAGAGGAAGACAUGCGGCGCGCGAGGAUACACUCGUUCG
Molecule: long non-coding RNA, 4923 nt
Filed under: Triticum aestivum (bread wheat)
Lineage: Eukaryota; Viridiplantae; Streptophyta; Magnoliopsida; Poales; Poaceae
Description: long non-coding RNA (TAES_LNC008530)
Source: RNAcentral